RNAcentral lists this ribosomal RNA (468 nucleotides) under uncultured bacterium. RNAcentral's name for it is "partial 16S ribosomal RNA". It matches the Rfam family "Bacterial small subunit ribosomal RNA", at positions 28 to 507 of the family's 1533-position model. The record is from RNAcentral.
GACGAACGCUGGCGGCGUGCUUAACACAUGCAAGUCGAACGGAAAGGCCCUGCUUUUGUGGGCUGCUCGAGUGGCGAACGGGUGAGUAACACGUGAGUAACCUGCCCUUGACUUUGGGAUAACUUCAGGAAACUGGGGCUAAUACCGGAUAGGAGCUCCUGCUGCAUGGUGGGGGUUGGAAAGUUUCGGCGGUUGGGGAUGGACUCGCGGCUUAUCAGCUGGUUGGUGGGGUAGUGGCUUACCAAGGCUUUGACGGGUAGCAGACCUGAGAGGGUGACCGGCCACAUUGGGCCUGUGAUACGGUCCAGACUCCUAUGGGAGGCAGCGGUGGAGAAUAUUGCACAAUGACCGGAAGCCUAAUGCACCAACGCCGCGUGCGGGGUGCCGGCCUUCGGGUUGUAAACCGCUUUCGCCUGUGACGAAGCGCGAGUGACGGUAACGUGUGAAGAAGCACCGGCUAACUACGUG